UACAGAGGGGGCAAGCGUUGUUCGGAAUUACUGGGCGUAAAGGGCGCGUAGGCGGCCCGCUAAGUCGAACGUGAAAUCCCCGAGCUCAACUCGGGAACUGCGUCCGAUACUGGUGGGCUUGAAUCCGGGAGAGGGAUGCGGAAUUCCAGGUGUAGCGGUGAAAUGCGUAGAUAUCUGGAGGAACACCGAUGGCGAAGGCAGGUCUCUGGGCCGAUACUGACGCUGAGGAGCGAAAGCGUGGGGAGCGAACAGG
RNAcentral lists this ribosomal RNA (253 nucleotides) under uncultured bacterium. Its description in RNAcentral is "partial 16S ribosomal RNA". It matches the Rfam family "Bacterial small subunit ribosomal RNA", at positions 524 to 776 of the family's 1533-position model. The record is from RNAcentral.